CGCGUAGGCGGAUAUUUAAGUUGAUUGUGAAAUCCCUGGGCUUAACCUAGGAAUUGCAGUCAAUACUGGGUAUCUGGAGUAUGAUAGAGGAAAGUGGAAUUCCCGGUGUAGCGGUGAAAUGCGUAGAUAUCGGGAGGAACAUCAGUGGCGAAGGCGACUUUCUGGAUCAAUACUGACGCUGAGGCGCGAAAGCGUGGGGAGCAAACA
This 207-nucleotide ribosomal RNA is filed under the name uncultured bacterium. RNAcentral describes it as "partial 16S ribosomal RNA". It matches the Rfam family "Bacterial small subunit ribosomal RNA", at positions 568 to 774 of the family's 1533-position model. The record is from RNAcentral.